Molecule: long non-coding RNA, 1904 nt
Organism: Phocoena sinus (vaquita)
Lineage: Eukaryota; Metazoa; Chordata; Mammalia; Artiodactyla; Phocoenidae
Source: Ensembl
AGAGCAAGUCGGAGAAUAGAGAGGUGUUUUUCUUUCUUUCAAGGGGGGUAGGGGAAGUAAGCCAAUAAGAACCUUUGAAACAAAUCGUCCUAUCACAAAAUGCUUUCCUAGGGCCUAUUUUGUCAGCACUGCGGUGUCUUUUGAGCUCUCUCUUUUUUUCCCACCUUUUCUUUUUUUUUAAGUAGAAAUUCCCUCCGGUUUUAUUAGCCUCUUUAUAUGUCUCAAAUUGCAUGAAUCUUUUCUGGCUGUUGGAAACCUGAAUGCUUUUAGACCCAAAUGGAAAAUUUCUGAAAUGCUGGAUUAUCUAUUUUUAAACAAGCAGUUGACUUAAAACUUUCUGUGGCAACUUCUGGUUUUCUGACGGUUCCCAAUGAGAGAAAUUCUGAAAGUACACUGGGAUCACUGGGACGCUGUCUUUGUGAAGGUUUGCUUGGGAUGAAAAAGGAUAUUGCAGCUUCAGCAGUGUUGAACUGUGUGUUGAAAAAUGUGAAUUACUGUUAUUGUAUACUGUAAUUGAUUACAUGGGCUGGGGGGGUGUCAAAGGACUUGACAGGUUGUGUUGAUGCUCUUAGUUGAGUCUUGAAAAGUAAAUAUUAACGCUACAGAAAUGCAUGAGUUUCAAUAUAUUUUUUGUCUUUGUUUGCAUUGUAUAACUUUAACGAGUGAGUUUAAAAUUAUUUAAUUUCCUUAGAAAAAUAGCACCAUUUGGAAAAAAAAAAAAACCUGGUGUUAUGAAGAACGUUAAUGCACUGUUUUUAUUUUAUAUAAUUUAAAUUGACUUUCCCACUGUCUUUAAGUUGAAACUGUUAAGCUGAAUAAAAACUUAAGCUGCAAAUUGAUAACUUCGCUACAUAACAAGGAAAAUAUAAAUGUUUACAAAAGGCUUAAAGAUUUGCAUGUGCAGUGUGCAUUUUAUAACAAAACUUCUAAUUGCACAAAACCCAGGCCAGCUCAAAGUUUAGAUGUACACAUUUACCCAGUUGAGCGUUUUUAGAGUAACUACUGCACAAAUUGACAAUAGGUCAUUCUCUUUUUUUGCUCCCCUUUUCUUUUUCUCCCCUUCUUCCUUUCCCUCCCUUCCUCCUUCCCUCCCGCCCCUCCCCCACCCCCCCCAAACUCAUGAAAAGAUUCUAUGGACUGAAAAAGCCCCAGGCUGAAAGGACUGGACUGCCUUGAUUGACAUGGGGAAGGGGGUUAGUAGACUAUGUGUAUCGCGGCAGCAGAGGCUGCAGCCCAACGUGUGGUUUUAAUGACCAGCACGCAGGGCAAAGCAUUUUGCACAGUGUUUGUUUUCCUGUCUUGCACUUACAAAUAAGGUCUAUGGGAGUAGCAUGGAAAACGUUUGCUGUUUUUCCCUUUUUUUUUUUUUAAUUGCUUUUGUUUAAAAUUUGAUCGCCUUAACUACUGUAAACAUAGCCUAUUUUUGUGCUUAAGAUACUGAAUGGAAAACUCCAUUGUGUGUUGCUGGACUGUUUUGGAAAUAUUUGGUCAAAUGUGUGUUAAUUUGGCUGUAAUGGCAUUUAAAGCAAACAAACAAACAAAAAAAGCUGUGAAAAUGGCCUUGGAGCAUUAUCUUUAGUUACUUGAAGAGUUUCUAGUUUUUUUUAAAUACAGUUUAUGUUAAAAUAAUUUUUAUUAAUUUAGAGAAGACAAUCAAUGUCUGUGAGAAAACGGACUUUCUUUUGGAUUUUCUUUUUGUGGUCAUUGUGAGUGAUUGCUUUUUCCUUUUAUUAGUUUCACAUUCUUCCUUUGUUCUAAAACUUAGACUGACAUCUAGCUUUGACAAUCAUAGUAUGUUUUAUUUUCCUGAGGGGGGAAUAACUUAUAAUGCUGUUUAGUUUUGUACUAUUGGUGUGUUGGUGAAUUUUUAAACUGUGUGCUAACUGCAAUAAAUUAUAUGAACU